GGGUUCUGGGAGGCACCGCCUCGGGGUUGCGGGCCGGGUGCGGCUCGGCGGUGGAGGACUCACUUCCUGCUCCAUCCCCGGCUGGGCCCUGGGGCGAAUUUCCAGGCCUAGUGUAAUCUCCCAGCUGGAGCAGAAAGAAGAGCCAUGGGUCCUACCACUCCAAAACUUUGAGGCGAGGAAGAUCCUGAGGGAAAGCCACACAGACUGUGAGCAUCAGGUGGCAAAGCUCAAUCAGGACAGUUCUGAAACAGCAGAACAAUGUGGAACAUCCUCAGAAAGGACCAAUAAAGAUCUUUCUCAUACUCUUAGUUGGGGAGGAAACUGGGAGCAGGGCCUAGAAUUAGAAGGGCAACAUGGAACCCUUCCAGGAGAGGGCCAGCUGGAGUCCUUUUCACAGGAGAGGGAUUUAAACAAGCUCCUGGAUGGAUAUGUAGGAGAGAAGCCUAUGUGUGCAGAAUGCGGGAAAAGCUUUAACCAGAGUUCCUAUCUCAUAAGACACCUAAGAACCCACACUGGCGAGAGGCCCUAUACGUGCAUUGAGUGUGGGAAAGGCUUCAAACAGAGCUCAGACCUUGUCACCCAUCGCAGAACACACACAG
This 599-nucleotide small RNA is filed under the name Pan troglodytes (chimpanzee). Its description in RNAcentral is "processed transcript". The record is from RNAcentral. Lineage: Eukaryota; Metazoa; Chordata; Mammalia; Primates; Hominidae.